This is a long non-coding RNA of Dermochelys coriacea (leatherback sea turtle), 171 nucleotides long. RefSeq lists it as uncharacterized. The record is from RefSeq and is a predicted model, not a curated record. The transcript has 3 exons. NCBI's taxonomy places the organism in Eukaryota, Metazoa, Chordata, Testudines, Dermochelyidae.
CGGGGUUUGUUGCAGGGUUUGGUUUCUGGGUUGGUGUUUUUGUUGUGCGGUAUGUAGUUGGUGAGUAUUUGCUUCAGGUUGGGGGGCUGUCUGUAAGCGAGGAAUGGCCUGUCUCCCAAGGUCUGUGGGUGAGGGAUCAUCCUUUAGGAUAGCUUAUAGAUCCUUAAGGAA